AUGUGAACCACGAAAACCCUCACUCGCGGCGGGCCGCACGCGCGCCGAAUCCGGAGGGUCACCAAGAACCUGCGCACCAUGUUCUCGCCGCCUCCACUGCCGAGCUCGGCAGCCGCUGCGCCGCCCUUUGGCACCAGAGAUUUGGAAAACAAGCGAAAUUAAACGAAACCGCUGCAUGCCUCCGACGCGACAUCUGGACACGGCGUGGCGCUGGCGCUGCGGGAGCUGCGGGCCCGGCCUGGCGCCGGACUAGG
Molecule: long non-coding RNA, 254 nt
Organism: Piliocolobus tephrosceles (Ugandan red Colobus)
Lineage: Eukaryota; Metazoa; Chordata; Mammalia; Primates; Cercopithecidae
Exons: 2
Source: RefSeq, a predicted model, not a curated record